AUGGGAACGCGAAGAACCUUACCUAGACUUGACAUCUCCUGAAUAGUGUAGAGAUACAUGAAGCCCUUCGGGGCAGGAAGACAGGUGGUGCAUGGUUGUCGUCAGCUCGUGUCGUGAGAUGUUGGGUUAAGUCCCGCAACGAGCGCAACCCUUAUUACUAGUUGCUACCAUUAAGUUGAGCACUCUAGUGAGACUGCCCGGGUUAACCGGGAGGAAGGCGGGGAUGACGUCAAAUCAUCAUGCCCCUUAUGUCUAGGGCAACACACGUGCUACAAUGGUGAGUACAGAUAGAUGCGAUACCGCAAGGUGGAGCCAAACUCUAAAACUCAUCCCAGUUCGGAUUGUAGGCUGAAACUCGCCUACAUGAAGCUGGAGUUGCUAGUAAUCGCGAAUCAGAAUGUCGCGGUGAAUACGUUCCCGGGUCUUGUACACACCG
Molecule: ribosomal RNA, 436 nt
Filed under: uncultured bacterium
Lineage: Bacteria
Description: bacterial SSU rRNA
Rfam family: Bacterial small subunit ribosomal RNA
Source: RNAcentral